Pelobates cultripes (western spadefoot toad) is the source of this 353-nucleotide non-coding RNA. The record is from the annotation of a GenBank genome assembly. Lineage: Eukaryota; Metazoa; Chordata; Amphibia; Anura; Pelobatidae.
UCACUUCCAUGUGUUUUACUUUCUACCUCUACGACUCCCCAACAACAACCAGCAAAACUAGUUACUUGCAAGAGAGUGGCCCUCAAACAAUUUUAGUAGACCAUAUCAAUUUAAGUAUAUGAGCAACACAAUCUAGUUGCCAACCUCCUAUAUAUUUACAGACAAUGUUCUGGCUCCAGUGAUUCCUUGGACAUUACACAGAAGGCAAGGAGUUCCCUUACUUCGAUUUGGUCCAUUGAAGCCCAUUAAGUAAGUAAUGGUGUUUACCUUUGCUGAGACCAUUAUUUCAUUUAUACUACUAUAUGAAACUGAAUGUAACAACAUGAUAAACACAGUUCACCUGUUUUUACUGC